RNAcentral lists this ribosomal RNA (251 nucleotides) under uncultured prokaryote. RNAcentral's name for it is "partial 16S rRNA". It matches the Rfam family "Bacterial small subunit ribosomal RNA", at positions 525 to 775 of the family's 1533-position model. The record is from RNAcentral.
ACGUAGGAGGCGAACGUUAUCCGGAUUUACUGGGCGUAAAGCGCGUGUAGGUGGUUCUGUAAGUAGGGCGUGAAAGCUCCUGGCUCAACUGGGAGAGGCCGUUCUAAACUACAGAACUAGAGGAUGGUAGAGGGAGGUGGAAUUCCAGGUGUAGCGGUGGAAUGCGCAGAUCUCUGGAGGAACACCAGUGGCGAAGGCGCCCUCCUGGAACAUUCCUGACGCUCAGACGCGAAAGCUAGGGUAGCAAACGG